Molecule: ribosomal RNA, 507 nt
Filed under: uncultured bacterium
Lineage: Bacteria
Description: bacterial SSU rRNA
Rfam family: Bacterial small subunit ribosomal RNA
Source: RNAcentral
AACGAACGCUGGCGGCGUGGAUAAGACAUGCAAGUCGAGCGCUGAUUGCAAAGUAGCAAUAUUUUGCAGUCGGAGCGGCGCAAGGGUGCGUAACACGUGGGUAAUCUGCCAUGAAGUUUGGGAUAACUUGCUGAAAGGCGAGCUAAUACCGGAUGUGAAAAUUGGGAGGCCUCUCUUGAUUUUUAAAGUUGGGGACCGUAAGGCCUGACGCUUCAUGAUGAGCCCGCGGCCUAUCAGCUAGUUGGUGAGGUAACGGCUCACCAAGGCUAAGACGGGUAGCUGGUCUGAGAGGACGACCAGCCACACUGGAACUGAGACACGGUCCAGACACCUACGGGUGGCAGCAGUCGAGAAUUUUUCACAAUGGGCGCAAGCCUGAUGGAGCGACGCCGCGUGGGGGAUGAAUGGCUUCGGCCCGUAAACCCCUGUCAUUUGCGAUCAAACCUUGUUAUUUAAAAGAUGACGAGCUGAUAGUAGCGAAAGAGGAAGGGACGGCUAACUCUGUGC